AUGUUUAUUUCUAAUUUUCUUCAGGUGCCCAUGCUGGCCUUCUUUGACUUUUCAUGUAGAGUGGCUUUCUUUGACUUGAGCCCAUCCAUUCGUGCAAGCAAAAAGGUGCUGAUCGAUACCCUCCGUGCUAAACCACAACACUAUCCAACACAAAACCCUAAUUUCCCGCCAAAAGAACACGAAACCCUAAUUACCACCACUUCAUUUCGACUACAGCCCCAUGCUCCAUGCACGCAUCAAAACAAAAUCUACAGCACAAACAUCAGCUCCCAAUCAUGCAUGCGACUGCUCGGCGAGGCCAUGAUAGCGGAAUGA
RNAcentral lists this ribosomal RNA (315 nucleotides) under Triticum aestivum (bread wheat). Its description in RNAcentral is "partial small subunit ribosomal RNA". The record is from RNAcentral. Lineage: Eukaryota; Viridiplantae; Streptophyta; Magnoliopsida; Poales; Poaceae.